AACGAACGCUGGCGGCAGGCCUAACACAUGCAAGUCGAACGAAGUCUUCGGACUUAGUGGCGCACGGGUGAGUAACGCGUGGGAGCGUGCCCUUUAGUACGGAAUAACAGUUGGAAACGACUGCUAAAUACCGUAUAUGCCUUCGGGUGAAAGAUUUAUCGCUAAAGGAUCGGCCCGCGUUAGAUUAGAUAGUUGGUGAGGUAAUGGCUCACCAAGUCGACGAUCUAUAGCUGGUUUGAGAGGAUGAUCAGCCACACUGGGACUGAGACACGGCCCAGACUCCUACGGGAGGCAGCAGUGAGGAAUAUUGGACAAUGGGGGCAACCCUGAUCCAGCCAUGCCGCGUGAGUGAAGAAGGCCCUAGGGUUGUAAAGCUCUUUAGCUCGUGAGGAUAAUGACCGUAACGAGAGAAUAAG
This 416-nucleotide ribosomal RNA is filed under the name uncultured Alphaproteobacteria bacterium. Its description in RNAcentral is "bacterial SSU rRNA". It matches the Rfam family "Bacterial small subunit ribosomal RNA", at positions 29 to 490 of the family's 1533-position model. Lineage: Bacteria; Pseudomonadati; Pseudomonadota; Alphaproteobacteria. The record is from RNAcentral.